GGGGGUGUACUGGUUUCGACUUGGAAACAAAGUUUUAGUGGCAUGCGGAGGACGUCGGUUGGCCUCCUUAAUCAUCCGAUACACUUAUAAUUGGCGAAGAAGAACUUCUCCAAGCUGCUUAAGGCUUAACCGCUUUAAGUUGCCGAUAGUCUAAGGCCUGACCAGGAGCAUUAGAACUAUCGUCAUAAACCCUGGUAUGAACUCUAUUCUUUCUGCUUUUUGGAAUAGAGAUUCAAGAUCGCUAAGAAGCACGUCAAUUCGCAGUGUGGCGCCUUCCUUCAGAAUUGAUGUAUUAAAGAAGGCGAUAAGCAUGUAGUCAUUACUAUGGAGUUUGCUAAGGACGAGAGUUCGAUUCUCUCCACCUCCA
This 367-nucleotide transfer-messenger RNA is filed under the name zebrafish metagenome. It matches the Rfam family "transfer-messenger RNA". From Rfam's summary of the family: Bacterial tmRNA, also known as 10Sa RNA or SsrA, is named for its dual tRNA and mRNA-like properties. The record is from RNAcentral.